RNAcentral lists this ribosomal RNA (439 nucleotides) under uncultured bacterium. RNAcentral's name for it is "partial 16S ribosomal RNA". It matches the Rfam family "Bacterial small subunit ribosomal RNA", at positions 339 to 795 of the family's 1533-position model. The record is from RNAcentral.
CUACGGGGUGCUGCAGUGGGGAAUAUUGCACAAUGGAGGAAACUCUGAUGCAGCAACGCCGCGUGGAGGAUGACACUUUUCGGAGCGUAAACUCCUUUUAUAUAGGAAGAAGAUGACGGUACUAUAUGAAUAAGCGCCGGCUAACUCCGUGCCAGCAGCCGCGGUAAUACGGGGGGCGCAAGCGUUACUCGGAAUUACUGGGCGUAAAGAGCGUGUAGGCGGAUUAAAAAGUCAGAAGUGAAAUCCUAUAGCUUAACUAUAGAACUGCUUCUGAAACUCUUAAUCUAGAAUGUGGGAGAGGUAGAUGGAAUUUCUGGUGUAGGGGUAAAAUCCGUAGAGAUCAGAAGGAAUACCGAUUGCGAAGGCGAUCUACUAGAACAUUAUUGACGCUGAGACGCGAAAGCGUGGGGAGCAAACAGGAUUAGAUACCCGCGUAGUC